AUACUGACACUGAGGAGCGAAAGCGUGGGGAGCGAACAGGAUUAGAUACCCUGGUAGUCCACGCCGUAAACGGUGGGCGCUAGUUGUGCGAACCUUCCACGGUUUGUGCGACGCAGCUAACGCAUUAAGCGCCCCGCCUGGGGAGUACGAUCGCAAGAUUAAAACUCAAAGGGAUUGACGGGGCCCCGCACAAGCAGCGGAGCAUGCGGCUUAAUUCGACGCAACGCGAAGAACCUUACCAAGGCUUGACAUAUACAGGAAUACGGCAGAGAUGUCGUAGCCGCAAGGUCUGUAUACAGGUGGUGCAUGGUUGUCGUCAGCUCGUGUCGUGAGAUGUUGGGUUAAGUCCCGCAACGAGCGCAACCCUCGUUCUGUGUUGCCAGCAUUUAGUUGGGGACUCACAGGAGACUGCCGGGGUUAACUCGGAGGAAGGUGGGGAUGACGUCAAAUCAUCAUGCCCCUUAUGUCUUGGGCUGCACGCAUGCUACAAUGGCUGGUACAAACGGCUGCAAUACCGCAAGGUGGAGCGAAUCCGAGAAAGCCAGUCUCAGUUCGGAUUGGGGUAUGCAACUAGACCCCAUGAAGUCGGAGUUGCUAGUAAUCGUAGAUCAGCAACGCUACGGUGAAUACGUUCCCGGGGCUUGUACACACCGCCCGUCACAUCACGAAAGUCGGUAACAC
RNAcentral lists this ribosomal RNA (681 nucleotides) under uncultured Actinomycetes bacterium. Its description in RNAcentral is "bacterial SSU rRNA". It matches the Rfam family "Bacterial small subunit ribosomal RNA", at positions 737 to 1420 of the family's 1533-position model. Lineage: Bacteria; Bacillati; Actinomycetota; Actinomycetes. The record is from RNAcentral.